Long non-coding RNA from Manduca sexta (tobacco hornworm), 273 nucleotides. RefSeq lists it as uncharacterized. Lineage: Eukaryota; Metazoa; Arthropoda; Insecta; Lepidoptera; Sphingidae. The record is from RefSeq and is a predicted model, not a curated record. The transcript is spliced from 3 exons.
GUAUAUAUUUGCGAGUUAACUAUUGGUUAUUGUAGUUCAGCCCGCAAGCACGAUGGGAGUGCAGUGUAAAGUGGACAGCAUGGCUCGCGUUGGGUGGUUAGUCGCUGUUAUUUUAAUGCUUUGCGCGUUUCCGGCGCAGGCAUUUGCAUCAUGUGACAUCAAUGAUUUUGUUCAAAUUAAUAACACAGACAUCGUACUGAAGCUUGAAGCGAUUUGCAGUUGCAACGGGUAAGUUUUUUUAUUUAUUUAUUUUUUUAUUGAUCACCAAUACAU